RNAcentral lists this ribosomal RNA (393 nucleotides) under Uroglenopsis americana. RNAcentral's name for it is "partial small subunit ribosomal RNA". It matches the Rfam family "Eukaryotic small subunit ribosomal RNA", at positions 30 to 432 of the family's 1831-position model. The record is from RNAcentral. Lineage: Eukaryota; Chrysophyceae; Chromulinales; Chromulinaceae.
GCUUGUCUCAAAGAUUAAGCCAUGCAUGUCUAAGUAUAAACUGCUUAUACUGUGAAACUGCGAAUGGCUCAUUAUAUCAGUUAUAGUUUAUUUGAUGGUUCAUACUACUUGGAUAACCGUAGUAAUUCUAGAGCUAAUACAUGCGUCAAAACCCGACUCCUGGGAGGGUUGUAUUUAUUAGAUGGAAACCAAUGCGGGGCAACCCGGUAUAUGGUGAUUCAUAAUAACUUUCGGAUCGAUCUUCGGAUCGAUGCAUCAUUCAAGUUUCUGCCCUAUCAGCUUUGGAUGGUAGGGUAUUGGCCUACCAUGGCUUUAACGGGUAACGGAGAAUUAGGGUUCGAUUCCGGAGAGGGAGCCUGAGAAAUGGCUACCACAUCCAAGGAAGGCAGCAGG